This 479-nucleotide ribosomal RNA is filed under the name uncultured bacterium. RNAcentral describes it as "partial 16S ribosomal RNA". It matches the Rfam family "Bacterial small subunit ribosomal RNA", at positions 28 to 523 of the family's 1533-position model. The record is from RNAcentral.
GACGAACGCUGGCGGCGUGCUUAACACAUGCAAGUCGAACGGUAAGGCCCUUCGGGUGCGGAUUAGCGGCGAACGGGUGAGGAACACGUGAGGAAUCUGCCUUCCACUCUGGGAUAACUCCGGGAAACCGGGGCUAAUACCGGAUACUUUCAACUGGCGGCAUCGCCGGUUGAAGAAAGUUUUUCGGUGGAAGAUGACCUCGCGGCCUAUCAGCUUGUUGGUGAGGUAAAGGCUCACCAAGGCGACGACGGGUAGCCGGCCUGAGAGGGCGACCGGCCACACUGGGACUGAGACACGGCCCAGACUCCUACGGGAGGCAGCAGUGGGGAAUAUUGGGCAAUGGAGGAAACUCUGACCCAGCGACGCCGCGUGAGGGAUGAAGGCCUUCGGGUUGUAAACCUCUUUCAGCAGGGAAUAAGCGAAAGUGAAGGUACCUGCAGAAGAAGCACCGGCUAACUAUGUGCCAGCCGCCGCAGUAA